ACAGCAGAACAGAACACAAUCUUCAUCAUCACACAACACAAAACAAUAACAAUGACAUUCAUCUUCAUCUUCAUCUGGACACUGACACUGUUUGCUCAAGAGUGUAGAGGACAGUACACUGUAACUCAGAGUCCUUCAAUAACAGCAGCUCAAACAGGACAAGAUGUAAGAAUAAACUGUAAAGUCAGCAGUAGGGUGUAUGAUGGUGAUGAGAUACAGUGGUACUUACAGAAACCUGGAGAAGCUCCUAAACUCCUCAUACAUGAGACAAAAUACCUUUACACAGGAACUCCAUCUAGAUUCAGUGGCAGUGGAUUAAACUCUGAUUUCACUCUGACCAUCAGUGGAGUCCAGACUGAAGAUACAGGAGAUUAUUACUGUCAGAGUUAUCACAGUGGUCCAGUGUUCACACAGUGAUAAAGAGUUGUACACAAACCUCUGUCAGUCAGACUGCACAGUGACUGCACUGAUACACUGGCAGAUACAGCAGGUGCUGAGGGCGAUGAUAUCACACAAAACAAACCCUCAAUAUACCAAAGUUUUCAGAGACAAAAUAAUAUUUAUUUAUAUACUUAGUACUUCUUACUUAUAUCUAAUUAGAUAUUUGUAUUUAUUUGUCCAGAUUUGUUUUUUGUUUUACACACACAGCUUUAAAAUGGAUGUUAAGUUUGACAUAGUUGUACUUUUUCAAUUAUUCUGUAAGGCAAAGGUGCCCAAAAAUCUACACCCAGGGGGCACAAAACAAAAGAAGGCCCAGGACAAUCAACUCAGUCUCGGAGAAAAUCAGCAUACCAACUUUCUCGCAAAGACACUAUCUCAAUCUCAGAAACACCAACUGGGUGUGAAAAGAUUCAUCAUCUUUCCACAUCUGCUUCUCUCUCCUCCUCCCCCCUCCUGUCCCUCUCAGCUCAGAACCACCUUUAAACACACCUAAAUCUUGUAUAUAACAAAUAUCUAAUUAUAUGUACACGAAGAUUGUAACUAUUCAUGUUUGAUAUCAUUCAAAAGGUCUCAGUGUGAGUGGUACUAUGGUAUCAUUCCCACAACUGUAAAAUACACGCUAACACAGUUUUAAGAAUUUAGAGAAAUUCUGUCUCUACUGUGGAGAUGUGUCUGCCAGAGAUUCUCAGUGUAAAAUACCACCUCCUGAGCCACUGGAUUCAUUAAUUCCCAAAUUAUUUGAUUGUUCUUAUUGGUUACCAAUUGCCGAUGAUGUUUAUUGUGUCUGGAUACUUAUGGGGAACUCACAAGAGGUUAAGGGGGAUUCUGUAGCCAGAUUGAACCCCAUGGUGUUGUGUGGCAAUCCCACAACACCAUGUACUAUUAUAAAAUGCAUCUCGUACUCUUGAUUCAUCUCUGAGCUAUGAAUGUUUUGUAUUAAUUAUUUCUAAAUUGAUUAAAUUAUGUAAUUUGCAUGAUACAU
Molecule: non-coding RNA, 1423 nt
Organism: Myxocyprinus asiaticus (Chinese sucker)
Lineage: Eukaryota; Metazoa; Chordata; Actinopteri; Cypriniformes; Catostomidae
Source: the annotation of a RefSeq genome assembly